ACGAGAUUCCUGACCCACAAAAACGUUUCUACCUACAAAAUGCCAAUGAGGUUUGCAAAGCCGCCAUCAGUUUCGACUUUCCUAUUGCCUGAUACUGUUUGUCUUAAUCACCCACAACAUGAACACAUGGAACUCAUAGACUGGUGGGUGGCAGAGACGAGAAAGGAGACAGAAAACACUGUGAUGAGCAGAACUACCAACCAAGGACUCUUGAUGUGCAAAGGAGGUUGAGAGAGCAAAGAAAGGAAGCCAGAACAGUUUGAGAGUCAGCCCAGGUCCUGGUCGCCCGCCCACACCCACAAUCCUCUUUCCUGGCUGGGAUGAGUCUGGGGAGGAGACGAGCAAAUCAGUGUUUAUUUCCUGAAGUUCAUGGUCACCAGAGAGGACUGCAUCUCCCCCUCUUUCACUUGGAAAAACUGAUGUGUUGGAAUAAUUAUGGUUCAUCCUUUGAUCUGUCUCUUUGUCUGCAAAGCAUAAAUAGUGUCAGCUGGCAAGGUCUGAUUGCUCCGAUAUUUCAGGUUUAUAUUUUGAAUAACACAAGACUUGGUUGCUAGCACUGGUAAAUAAUUUACUCUAGUCUGAAAUACAAGCUCCAGGCAAGAAACAUAAGAUCAAACAUGGGGAAUGGCGGCACCAUAGCAAACGCACAGCUACCCUGUGAAGAGUUUUUCUAAAUUCUCUGCUGGAAGAAGUUCGGAGGGGGCAGGGGAGGGGAUGACAACAGGUGGGGAAUCAGCCAUGGUGCCCGCUCCUGCGCAAAUAAAAUGCUUUUGCUGACAUCAAAGCAGGCUGGAGAGAUGAGUAUCAAUGACAGCUGAAAGAAGUGACGGCUGAAAGAAGCUUCUCCAACUUCUAGCAAAGACACCCUCCGCCCAAAAAAACUUUCACUUUGCCCAAACUAAGUAGCAAUGCUCACUUCUUAGAUCUCCUUUUUUUAAAUGACUGUUUAUUGUUUUUACUGGAGUAUAAUUGCUUUACAAUGCCGUGUCAGUUUCUGCUGUACAAGGAAGUGAAUCAGCUAUAUGUAUACAUAUAUCCCCUCCCAGUUGGACCACCCUCCCUUCAUCCCACCCCUCUAGGUCAUCACAGAUCACCAAGCUGAACUCCCUGUGCUAUACAGCAGCUCCCCACUAGCUAUCUAUUCUACCCACAGAGUGCAGAAGAGAGGGAGAGAGGAG
This is a long non-coding RNA of Bos taurus (domestic cattle), 1178 nucleotides long. The record is from Ensembl. Lineage: Eukaryota; Metazoa; Chordata; Mammalia; Artiodactyla; Bovidae.